CGGCGGCCCGCACGGGGCUCCUUCGGGAAUCCGGAGACAAAGUCGCCCAUCACCCGGUAGCCCGUCCCCACCCAGUCCGCGCCCGCCUGGAGCUGGAGAUCCGCUGUGCCCAGGCGUCAAUGGAGCCACACUUUCCAGGGCGUUUCGAGGCGACUGAAAGCACCCCCCACCCCCGGCCCUCCGCUCCCUGUUUCCCACCGCGACCAAGCCGCAGGCUGCGGUACCCAGAGCCCCCUUUCAGCAUACCCUGGGUCACUGUCUCUUUUCAGCCUACCAGCCGGCUCCGACUCAGAAUGUGGCUGCUGCGAUCCCGCCUCUUCUUUGGCCCCGACCUUCACCAUGGGUUUGCAUUUGAACUUUUUUUUUUUUUUCGGUUCCAUAAACCCGCCUCGCGGCCGAUGCCCGCCUCGCGGCCGAUGCCCGCCUCAACCUGCACACAUCCUGACUUUCACUCUUCAGCUUUGGGGUCAGCAUCACAUUGUCUGGGAGUCUAGGUGGCUUUUCUGGAAGGUUCUAGGCUUUGAGUCAGCUUCUGGUUGUGUUGUGUUUGGUGUUAUUUGUUGGUUUGUUUGGGGGUGGGGGUGUAAAUCAAGGGACAACUUCUCAGAGUCCUGGGGAUUGAACUCAGGUUGUCUUGCUUUGUGGCAAGUGCCUUUAUCCAAUCAACGAUCCAUUUCACAGGUCCCAGUUUGUGAUUUUAAUGUCCGAUUUCCACUGAAAUUCAGCUUAAUGGGGACCAGUCCUGUCUUGCACCAUUCAUGACCUGUGGAAAAAGAUCCGUUGCCUGUGCUGCUCUCCAACUCCUGGAAUCAAGCAAAUUUCCUGGCCCAGAUUCCCUGAGUAGCUGAGAUUUCCGGUGCAGCAUCACAAGAAGCUUAACUAAAGAUAGAUAUACAGCCUUGAGUUGCUAACAGACACAGUGGCACUGUUCAGCUGAAUUAGAAUUUUGGCUUCUCGUCCACCUCUGCUGGCUUUCCAGGAAUGUCUGGACUGGGCUUCACCAUGUGUGGAUCCAGUCGUGUGGGCAGCAGCUAAGCCAACCUUGGACUGCAGAGAGAGACCUUUUCUCGAAAAGGCAGGGUCUGCUUGCUCUUCACCUGAAGACACCGAGACUCAGCAAGACGAGGUAGUUAACCCGAAGGCACAUGGCAACAGGGCAAGGAGACACUGGGACCUGAUGCCAACUGCACCGAUUUCCAGGACUCUUGAAAGUUCCAGAGACCCAGGCCCGCCCUCGUGUGGUGGCUUUAGCUGACAGGCACUUGAAUUGAGGACUCAGAAGAACAUGGGUGAUAUUAAAUGGAGGUUCUAGGUGACAGAGAAGGACAGCCCUAACUAUAUUGUCCCAUGAACAGCGGCUGGUGGGGGCACGGAUUGAUUUUCAUACGUCAGCGGACAUCCUGAAGCUUGGCAGUGUUCCUGGAGUCCAAGAUGGUGGACCUGAAGUCUGCACCGGGAAAGGGAAGCAGGCAGUUCAGCCAUGGGAAGCUCAUCCGUAAGAGAAAGCUCAAUUUGAGCCCCAGUUGACUGCUCAAAUUCUCCAUCGGUUUCUGCUGGGUGUGUCUGAGUCGAUAAUGCUCCCUCUCUGCCGUCAUUGUUGUUUGACUUGGAAACCUGGCCCAAAGGGACACUCGGCUCCCGAGGGGACACCCGGCUCUGCCCAAGGCCCUUUCUAUCGUGAACUCCAGCUGACUGCCUUAACAGGACUUCCCGGCUGAUAUCCACUGGAUGUCUUCCUAUCUAUCGAUUGGUGUAUUUAUCUGUAUACUUAAUAGAUUCGCUCAUUCAGAAUGAAAAGAUGGCGGUUCUAGAACACUUUUUGAAUUGCACAGCACAUAAUGGACAUAAUAAGUAGGCUCUACGAGAUGCCAUUUCUGUUUUGAAGGAGUGACUCUUAAAAAAACGAAAGGUGGCUUACGGGAUGACGGUAAGGCUGCUGGUGAAGGGAGAAAUGAUACCCGUGACCCCCAGCCUCCUACACGUCAGCAGCUGGGUUAACAAGGGGAUCAGUGUGCGUCUGCAAUUCUGCAGUUACUGAGUUGGCAUGUAGAGGUUUGGGGAUCUCUGUGCACUUCCUUUUCUGCUUUUUCUUGUUUACAAAGACUGUUCAUUGAUCAGGAUCACUGAUAUCGUCACAGACACUUGCUAGGAUGUAAAACUUCCUGUGUAUAUCAGACGCUGUGAGACCACAGUGGGGAGACAAGAAAAGGGGGGGAUGCUGUAAAAAUCAGGGGAAAAAAAAAGAAAGAAAAAAGCUUGGUAGCUUAACAAUGUCUAUGGGCAGGUGAUCUUAAUAUGCCACAUUGUGCCAAUUGGAUUCGACUCUUGUUUUAAAAAAUGAAGUAAGAAAGAAGCAGUAGAGGCUGGAGAGACGGCUCAUCAGCUAGAACUGACUUUGAUCCCAGCACCCACAAGGCGGCUCAGAAUCAUCUGUAACUCCACUUCCAAGGGAUCCAGCGCCCUCUUCUGGCCUUCGAGAGCACUGGGCACACACACGGUGUACAGACAACAGACACAGCAUGCAGUUAAAACACCCACACACACCAAAUAAAAAUAAAUAAACCUCAAAAUUAAUGUUAACUAAGAAACAGUGUGUGUGUGUGUGUGUGUGUGUGUGUGUGUGUG
This is a non-coding RNA of Peromyscus maniculatus bairdii (prairie deer mouse), 2625 nucleotides long. The record is from RefSeq and is a predicted model, not a curated record. NCBI's taxonomy places the organism in Eukaryota, Metazoa, Chordata, Mammalia, Rodentia, Cricetidae.